GUUCCCUGAGAUCAACAGACACUGACCAGAGUCUGGUCCAGGCCAGAGCUUCCAUCCCACGGGACCUAGGCAGAGAAAUAUAAAGUGUUGAUGGUGAGCGGAUGCUAUGCACACCUACAGGACAGUCACACAGAACUAAUCCUGGCAGACAGAAGUCACUGCUACCUGAGGCAGGAGCACGGCCCACCCACUCCAGAAGCCUGGGCAGAGACUACAAACCACAUGACCUAUCAGAAGAUCUCUCAAUUAUCCCUGCCCGGGUACUAGAGAUCUUAAAUGGAAGGCCUCACGAAUGCUAAGCAAAUGCCCUGUCUCUCCACUAUAACCUCUGCCCUCUUUUUUUUUUUUUAACUUUCUGAUUCUGAGACACGGUUUUGCUGCACUGCCCUCACUGGCUGUCCACACUCCGACCGAAGCAGACUGGGUCCUCAAA
RNAcentral lists this long non-coding RNA (433 nucleotides) under Mus musculus (house mouse). RNAcentral's name for it is "predicted gene, 49226". Lineage: Eukaryota; Metazoa; Chordata; Mammalia; Rodentia; Muridae. The record is from RNAcentral.